RNAcentral lists this ribosomal RNA (914 nucleotides) under Weissella confusa. RNAcentral describes it as "bacterial SSU rRNA". It matches the Rfam family "Bacterial small subunit ribosomal RNA", at positions 51 to 918 of the family's 1533-position model. The record is from RNAcentral. Lineage: Bacteria; Bacillati; Bacillota; Bacilli; Lactobacillales; Lactobacillaceae.
CUAUAAUGCAGUCGAACGCUUUGUGGUUCAACUGAUUUGAAGAGCUUGCUCAGAUAUGACGAUGGACAUUGCAAAGAGUGGCGAACGGGUGAGUAACACGUGGGAAACCUACCUCUUAGCAGGGGAUAACAUUUGGAAACAGAUGCUAAUACCGUAUAACAAUAGCAACCGCAUGGUUGCUACUUAAAAGAUGGUUCUGCUAUCACUAAGAGAUGGUCCCGCGGUGCAUUAGUUAGUUGGUGAGGUAAUGGCUCACCAAGACGAUGAUGCAUAGCCGAGUUGAGAGACUGAUCGGCCACAAUGGGACUGAGACACGGCCCAUACUCCUACGGGAGGCAGCAGUAGGGAAUCUUCCACAAUGGGCGAAAGCCUGAUGGAGCAACGCCGCGUGUGUGAUGAAGGGUUUCGGCUCGUAAAACACUGUUGUAAGAGAAGAAUGACAUUGAGAGUAACUGUUCAAUGUGUGACGGUAUCUUACCAGAAAGGAACGGCUAAAUACGUGCCAGCAGCCGCGGUAAUACGUAUGUUCCAAGCGUUAUCCGGAUUUAUUGGGCGUAAAGCGAGCGCAGACGGUUAUUUAAGUCUGAAGUGAAAGCCCUCAGCUCAACUGAGGAAUUGCUUUGGAAACUGGAUGACUUGAGUGCAGUAGAGGAAAGUGGAACUCCAUGUGUAGCGGUGAAAUGCGUAGAUAUAUGGAAGAACACCAGUGGCGAAGGCGGCUUUCUGGACUGUAACUGACGUUGAGGCUCGAAAGUGUGGGUAGCAAACAGGAUUAGAUACCCUGGUAGUCCACACCGUAAACGAUGAGUGCUAGGUGUUUGAGGGUUUCCGCCCUUAAGUGCCGCAGCUAACGCAUUAAGCACUCCGCCUGGGGAGUACGACCGCAAGGUUGAAACUCAAAGGAAUUGACGGGG